GACGAACGCUGGCGGCGUGCUUAACACAUGCAAGUCGAACGGAAAGGCCCUGCUUUUGUGGGGUGCUCGAGUGGCGAACGGGUGAGUAACAAGUGAGUAACCUGCCCUUGACUUUGGGAUAACUUCAGGAAACUGGGGCUAAUACCGGAUAGGAGCUCCUGAUGCAUGGUGGGGGUUGGAAAGUUUCGGCGGUUGGGGAUGGACUCGCGGCUUAUCAGCUUGUUGGUGGGGUAGUGGCUUACCAAGGCUUUGACGGGUAGCCGGCCUGAGAGGGUGACCGGCCACAUUGGGACUGAGGUACGGCCCAGACUCCUACGGGAGGCAGCAGGGGGGAAUAUUGCACAAUGGGCGGGAGCCUGAUGCAGCAACGCCGCGGGCGUGAUGACGGCCUUCGGGUGGUAAACCGCGUUCGCCUGUGACGAAGCGUGAGUGACGGUAAUGGGUAAAGAAGCACCGGCUAACUAUGUG
RNAcentral lists this ribosomal RNA (468 nucleotides) under uncultured bacterium. RNAcentral describes it as "partial 16S ribosomal RNA". It matches the Rfam family "Bacterial small subunit ribosomal RNA", at positions 28 to 507 of the family's 1533-position model. The record is from RNAcentral.